Myotis brandtii (Brandt's bat) is the source of this 1245-nucleotide long non-coding RNA. RefSeq lists it as uncharacterized. The record is from RefSeq and is a predicted model, not a curated record. The transcript is spliced from 2 exons. Lineage: Eukaryota; Metazoa; Chordata; Mammalia; Chiroptera; Vespertilionidae.
GCACUAGGAGGGAGUGAUUAGGUCAUGAGGGCGGAGCCUUCCUGAUGCGAUGAGUGUCCACACAGAAGAGACUGCAGAAAUCCCUCGCCCUCCACCAUGUGAGGACCCAUCGGUGCUGGCUGUGACCCAGGAAGGCUCUCAGCAGACACCGAGUCUGCCGGCACCUCCAUCUUGGACUUCACAGCCUUCAGAACUUGACCAGCCAACUCCGCCCUCGCCGGCAGAGACACCAACCCACCCGAAUUAGAUGAAAAUAAAGCCAAGAGACAAGGUGGGUUGUUUUGCCUUAAAACUUCAAUAUGCUGGAUUGUGGCGUGAGGUAUUUUUAUUCCCUUUUGUUAGUACUUAAAACCAUCUGGUACACAUUGUAAGGCAAAUGAUUAACACGUCUCAAGCUACUCGUCCAUUUGUACAUUGCCGAUUCCACUCUGUCAGUCACAGCUCCACGGAGUUGGGGUGGUCCUGCGUGUCUUAGGUGAGGGCUUUCCCAGCGGUGGUGCAGGACGGGGAGGACUGUGUUGAUUGGCCGCCCCUCUGGACUGCGUCAGAAAGGGCAGAAAGGGCUUAAGAACACUGGGGAAUAGCAGCCACCGCUCUCACAGAGAAUAGGCAAACAGGUUUUGACUAGUGGGCCCAGCAUUACUGGAAACCAUGUUCCCUGUGUUGUCCGACUGUCAAGGUUGUGCAAUGUCAUACUGUCCUACCCCGUACCUGGGGGAAUGAGUAUAAAAAAGGAAAAAGAAUGUUUUUUGAAGACAGGCACAAUAUAUACUACUAUUGAAUGCGCAGUUCCGAACCACAGUUGAGUAGGCUAUAGAUAGGUAUGACGAUGGGUGCCGGGGGACUACACACCAUCCUUCAUGGUGCUUUUACACCCACAGAAGCUCACAAAUUCCGUAACGUAACAUCACAAAUGGCCCUGAUUACUGAUAUACAGGUUUUCAUGCUUGUGAAACAGACAGCAAAACACCCACAGCUUAAUAUCUUCCCAUUGUAUAUACCACUCACGCACAGUACAGUGAUAGUCUAGACAUCGCACUGGACUUCUGCUUCUCUUAGCAGAAAACAACCUGCUACGGUUUGUAAAUAGUCAUCACUUGAACAAUUUGGUCAGCUUGCACCAGGAAGUGGGUCUGGGAGCCAGCGUCUCACUGGAGCACGAGACCCCAGGGUGGCACGUAGUGUGCGGCAAAUCGCUUACUAAUCAAAGGAGUAACUUCCUAUUAUUAUAAAAGUAGAAAGAUU